UACAUACCCUAGAGCCCGGGCAGCCA
This 26-nucleotide non-coding RNA is filed under the name Rattus norvegicus (Norway rat). Lineage: Eukaryota; Metazoa; Chordata; Mammalia; Rodentia; Muridae. The record is from RNAcentral.